RNAcentral lists this long non-coding RNA (328 nucleotides) under Lathyrus oleraceus (garden pea). RNAcentral's name for it is "Pisum sativum (pea) long non-coding RNA (PSAT_LNC017864)". Lineage: Eukaryota; Viridiplantae; Streptophyta; Magnoliopsida; Fabales; Fabaceae. The record is from RNAcentral.
UCAUUAACUAUGCUUUCAGCAUGCCUUAGAGAUUUUUCGUGGUAACAAAAUGCCCCCCAGAGAUGCCAUUUUUGACUGUCGAAGUUGGUGAGAUGAUGGCAUCUCUGAAACGUCGAUUUAAAUUAACUAUGCUUUCAGCAUGCCUUAGAGAUUUUUCGUGGUAACAAAAUGCCCCCCAGAGAUGCCAUUUUUGACUGUCGAAGUUGGUGAGAUGAUGGCAUCUCUGAAACGUCGAUUUACCCCUUACUAUUUCCACUUCUACUUAGUGGGACCUCUGUUUACCCCACGUUGAUGACGUCAUAUAAUCAUGGAAGACGUUUCCUUUUUC